This 393-nucleotide ribosomal RNA is filed under the name uncultured bacterium. RNAcentral describes it as "partial 16S ribosomal RNA". It matches the Rfam family "Bacterial small subunit ribosomal RNA", at positions 523 to 918 of the family's 1533-position model. The record is from RNAcentral.
AUACGGAGGACGCGAGCGUUAUCCGGAUUCAUUGGGUUUAAAGGGUGCGCAGGCGGCCGUGCAAGUCAGCGGUGAAAGCCCGGGGCUCAACCCCGGAAGUGCCGUUGAUACUGCAUGGCUGGAAUGCGGUCGAGGCGGGCGGAACGUGGCGGGUAGCGGGGGAAUGAGUAGAUAUGCCACAGAACGCCGAUAGCGGAGGCAGCUCGCCAGGCCUGCAUUGACGCUCGGGCACGAAAGCGUGGGGAUCGAACAGGAUUAGAUACCCUGGUAGUCCACGCCGUAAACGAUGGGCGCUCGUCGUCGGCGGCAGACAGUCGGCGGCCAAGCGAAAGCGAUAAGCGCCCCACCUGGGGAGUACGGUCGCAAGGCCGAAACUUAAAGGAAUUGACGGGG